UGUGUUUCUAAUAACAGCAGAUAAUAACCAGAAUGGGAGUGAGUGACUUGUGGCAAAUUUUGGAGCCCGUUAAGCAACACAUCCACUUGAGUAGUCUUGGUGGGAAAACCAUUGCAGUUGAUCUGAGCCUCUGGGUAUGUGAAUCACAGACAGUCAAAAAAAUGAUUGGAACUGUCACGAAGCCCCACCUCAGGAACUUGUUUUUUCGUAUCUCACAUUUAACACUAAUGGAUGUAAAACUGGUAUUUGUUAUGGAAGGGGAACCCCCAAAGCUGAAAGCUGAUGUCAUAAACAAGAGGAAUCAAAUUCGGUAUGGGCCUUCUGGAAAAACAUGGUCUCAGAAAACAGGGAGAUCACAUUUUAAAUCAGUGUUAAGAGAGUGUCUUGAAUUGCUGGAAUGCUUAGGAAUUCCCUGGGUCCAAGCUGCUGGGGAAGCAGAAGCCAUGUGCUCUUACCUCGAUGCCAGUGGUUAUGUGGACGGCUGCCUCACCAAUGAUGGGGAUGCUUUCCUUUAUGGGGCCCGGACUGUUUAUAGGAAUUUCACUAUGAAUACCAAGGACCCCCAUGUUGACUGUUACACAGCGUCAUCUAUCAAGAGUAAACUAGGUUUGGAUAGAGAUGCUCUAGUUGGACUGGCAGUACUGCUUGGCUGUGAUUAUCUUCCAAAGGGCGUCCCUGGAGUUGGAAAAGAGCAAGCAUUAAAACUUAUACAGAUUUUGAAAGGGCAAAGUUUACUUCAGAGGUUUAUUCAGUGGAGUGAAGAAAAACCUUGUAACUCUAAUCAACAACCACUAGUUAUUAAAAAACUGGCUCAUUGCUCUGUGUGUUCCCAUCCAGGUUCACCUAAGGAUCAUGAACAUAAUGGAUGCAAAUUAUGUCAAACUGAUCGAUAUUGUGAACCACAUGAUUAUGAAUACUGUUGUUCCUGUGAGUGGCACCGAACAGAGCAGGACAGGCAACUGAUGACAAUAGAGAACAAUAUUAAGAAAAAAGCUUGCAGUUGUGAAGGAUUCCCAUUCCAUGAGGUUAUUCAAGAAUUCCUUUUGAACAAGGAUAAAUUGGUAAAGGCAGUCAGGUACCAAAGACCUGAUUUAUUAUUGUUUCAGAGAUUUACUCUUGAAAAAAUGGAUUGGCCCAAUCACUAUGCAUGUGAGAAAUUGUUGGUACUUUUGACCCACUAUGACAUGAUAGAAAGAAAACUUGGUAGAAGACACUCUAAUCAACUACAGCCAAUUCGAAUUGUUAAAAACCGGAUCAGAAAUGGAGUUCAUUGCUUUGAAAUAGAGUGGGAAAAGCCUGAACAUUAUGCUAUAGAAGAUAACCAUGGAGAAUUAGUUCUACAAACAAUAGAAGAAGAAUCAUUAUUUGAAGCAGCUUUUCCAGAGAUUGUUGCUGUUUACCACAAACAACAGUUAGAAAUUAAAGAGAAGAAAAAGAAAAGCAUGAAAACUAAGCCUAAAGAAAAUAAUUUGCCACAAACAGAUGAGAUGAGUUUUCAGUCACUCAUACCUUUAAAACCCACAUGUGAAAUCUCUUCUAAACAGAAUUCCCAGUUAAAUUUGGAAAUUUUUCCUGAUUCGGCAUUACCCCAGGAAUCUAUUUCUGCGUCAUUGAAGAGCUUGCUUUUAUCUGAAGAUGCUCUCUGUAUGAAUACUCAAGAACAGUUAAUGUCUUCUUCAAAACCUUUGGCUUCACAGCAAAUUACAGCUGUCAGUAAAUCUCCAAUUUCAGAAUCUAGUCAACCAAAUAUCUCAUCCGAUAAUGUGUCGACGAUUGCUGAUCUACACUUGAGCAGCAUUGAUUGGGAGGGAACUUCUUUUAGUAAUUCUCCAGCUAUUCCAAGGAAUACUUGCUCUCAAGGCUUAAAAUCAGGACUUGAAACAGCCAUCCCUCAUAGCUAUAAACAUAUCCCAGGACAGUUGUCAUGUGACUCAGAAUGGUGCACCACAAAUAAAGUGUUCAGUUGGGAUCUUCAAAAGACUAAUCCUGAAGAGCAUCUACUUUCUGGCAUUACUGACUUACAUAGUCAGGAUCUGCCUUUAAAGGAACGAAUACUUAUAAAAUCAUUACAUCCUCUGGGUAACGUACAGUCAGACCUGAAAACUUUAUCUGGACGCACAGUAAAAGAAUCUUGUAAGGCUAGCAGUAGUUCUGAUUGUCCAUCACAUCUUUCAGAGGAUCUAGGAAUUUAUUUGCAAAAGGAAUCUAGGAACUCUAAAGUUCUAAAAGGAGACCAGCUGUUUCCAGAAAACUAUAAAGUGAAUACUUCUAUACCCUAUUCUGUCAAAAACAUGAUAGUAAAGGCCUCUGAUGCUAGAGUCGAGCCACCAAAUACUUCUUUAGAUCAUAGUAGAAAUGUUGACUUGCAAACCACUCAGAAAAUUAUAAUGAAGAAAAGUGUUUGCCUUGACAGAUAUUCCUCUGAUGAAGAAAGUGCCCCAGUGUUUGGGAAAGCUAUGAAUGCAACUGAGAAAAUGAAGCAGAGUUUUCAGAAGCACAAACCAGCCCAAUUCAAGAAAAAUGAUGCUAACAAAUUGAGUAACCCUAAGAUACAUAUUAAAGAAACGGAACAGUAUGUCCAGACUUCUAAAACAGCUGUAAAUGAAGAAAACUGUUUCGCAGAUACAGCCAAAGUUUCUCUGAGUUCCCUACAGUGUCAUAAGGAAAAAGAUGACUCUGAUAUCCACCUUCCUGCUGUGAGUGAAGUCUCAAAGUGCUGUCCUUUGAAAAUGAAAAUGAGUGAUUUAUUCAACGUUCAUGUAAAGAUCCAUCCAUGCUGUUGCAAAAGAAAAUACUGACAACCAUAAAGAAUAAGAGCAGCUACUAAUGACUGAAUGCUUACUAUGUCUGAAGACAGUUAUCGAGAAAUUUCUUUACAUGUAUGAAUCUUCACAAGAAUCCUGUCAGGUGAAGACGAGGCCUACCAUACCAAAUUAUAUGGAGGAUGACAUGAGAUCCUGUAUACAAGGCUCUCAUUUCUGGCACCUAGCACAGAGGAAGUGCUGCCUUUUUGUUUAGAGCCGUUUUAGCUGGAAGAUGCUAAUUAUCAAUGAGGAGAAAGUGACACCUGAGGAGUUCAUCUUCCAUCUUGGUCCUCGCUCUCUCCUUUGAACUCCCUCUCCGGCCUCUUUCCCACUUCAUCACUCGUCCCCCAGCAUCAUAAAAGCCAGCUCUGCCCAGGCGGGCGCAGAAC
Myotis davidii is the source of this 3193-nucleotide RNA transcript. It is a transcript of the gene named GEN1, Holliday junction 5' flap endonuclease, with no coding region annotated. Lineage: Eukaryota; Metazoa; Chordata; Mammalia; Chiroptera; Vespertilionidae. The transcript is spliced from 18 exons. The record is from RefSeq and is a predicted model, not a curated record.